RNAcentral lists this ribosomal RNA (449 nucleotides) under uncultured bacterium. Its description in RNAcentral is "partial 16S ribosomal RNA". It matches the Rfam family "Bacterial small subunit ribosomal RNA", at positions 29 to 523 of the family's 1533-position model. The record is from RNAcentral.
AGCGAACGCUGGCGGCAUGCCUAACACAUGUAAGUCGAACGAGAUCUUCGGGUCUAGUGGCGCACGGGUGCGUAACGCGUGGGAAUCUGCCCUUUGGUUCGGAAUAACAGUUGGAAACGACUGCUAAUACCGGAUGAUGACGAAAGUCCAAAGAUUUAUCGCCAGAGGAUGAGCCCGCGUAGGAUUAGCUAGUUGGUGUGGUAAAGGCGCACCAAGGCGACGAUCCUUAGCUGGUCUGAGAGGAUGAUCAGCCACACUGGGACUGAGACACGGCCCAGAAUCCUACGGAAGGCAGCAGUGGGGAGUAUUGGACAAUGGGCGAAAGCCUGAUCCAGCGAUGCCGCGUGAGUGAUGAAGGCCUUAGGGUUGUAAAGCUCUUUUACCCGAGAUGAUAAUGACAGUACCGGGAGAAUAAGCUCCGGCUAACUCCGUGCCAGCCGCCGCAGUAA